Molecule: ribosomal RNA, 449 nt
Filed under: uncultured bacterium
Lineage: Bacteria
Description: bacterial SSU rRNA
Rfam family: Bacterial small subunit ribosomal RNA
Source: RNAcentral
AGCGAACGCUGGCGGCAGGCCUAAUACAUGCAAGUCGAGCGGGUCCUUCGGGAUUAGCGGCGGACGGGUGAGUAACGCGUGGGAACGUGCCCUUUGGUACGGGAACAACUGAGGGAAACUUCAGCUAAUACCGUAUGUGCCCUUCGGGGAAAGAUUUAUCGCCAUUGGAGCGGCCCGCGUUGGAUUAGGUAGUUGGUGAGGUAAAGGCUCACCAAGCCUACGAUCCAUAGCUGGUCUGAGAGGAUGACCAGCCACACUGGGACUGAGACACGGCCCAGACUCCUACGGGAGGCAGCAGUAGGGAAUCUUGCGCAAUGGGCGAAAGCCUGACGCAGCCAUGCCGCGUGAAUGAUGAAGGUCUUAGGAUUGUAAAAUUCUUUCACCGGGGACGAUAAUGACGGUACCCGGAGAAGAAGCCCGGCUAACUUCGUGCCAGCAGCCGCGGUAAU